Molecule: ribosomal RNA, 468 nt
Filed under: uncultured bacterium
Lineage: Bacteria
Description: partial 16S ribosomal RNA
Rfam family: Bacterial small subunit ribosomal RNA
Source: RNAcentral
GACGAACGCUGGCGGCGUGCUUAACACAUGCAAGUCGAACGGAAAGGCCCUGCUUUUGUGGGGUGCUCGAGUGGCGAACGGGUGAGUAACACGUGAGUAACCUGCCCUUGACUUUGGGAUAACUUCAGGAAACUGGGGCUAAUACCGGAUAGGAGCUCCUGCUGCAUGGUGGGGGUUGGAAAGUUUCGGCGGUUGGGGAUGGACUCGCGGCUUAUCAGCUUGUUGGUGGGGUAGUGGCUUACCAAGGCUUUGACGGGUAGCCGGCCUGAGAGGGUGACCGGCCACAUUGGGACUGAGAUACGGCCCAGCCUAGUACGGGAGGCAGCAGUGGGGAAUAUUGCACAAUGGGCUGAAGCCUGAUGCAGCCCCGCCGCGUGCGGGAUGACGGCCUUCGGGUUGUAAACCGCUUUCGCCUGUGACGAAGCGUGAGUGACGGUAAUGGGUAAAGAAGCACCGGCUAACUACGUG